UACCUACGGGGGGCAGCAGUGGGGAAUAUUGCGCAAUGGACGAAAGUCUGACGCAGCGACGCCGCGUGAGGGAUGAAGGUUUUCGGAUCGUAAACCUCUGUCAGGAGGGAAGAAAGCGCAUGGCGCCAAUCAGCCAUGCGUUGACGGUACCUCCAAAGGAAGCGCCGGCUAACUCCGUGCCAGCAGCCGCGGUAAUACGGAGGAUGCGAGCGUUAUCCGGAUUUAUUGGGUUUAAAGGGUGCGUAGGCGGACUGGAAAGUCAGCGGUAAAAUCGAGAGGCUCAACCUCUUUCCGCCGUUGAAACU
RNAcentral lists this ribosomal RNA (305 nucleotides) under uncultured bacterium. Its description in RNAcentral is "bacterial SSU rRNA". It matches the Rfam family "Bacterial small subunit ribosomal RNA", at positions 335 to 634 of the family's 1533-position model. The record is from RNAcentral.